RNAcentral lists this ribosomal RNA (878 nucleotides) under bacterium HTCC8044. RNAcentral's name for it is "bacterial SSU rRNA". It matches the Rfam family "Bacterial small subunit ribosomal RNA", at positions 54 to 931 of the family's 1533-position model. The record is from RNAcentral.
CAUGCAGUCGAACGAGAAAGCACUUCGGUGUGAGUACAGUGGCGGACGGGUGAGUAACGCGUAGGAAUCUACCUAGUAGUGGGGGACAACUCGAGGAAACUCGAGCUAAUACCGCAUACGACCUAAGGGUGAAAGUGGGGGAUCUUCGGACCUCACGCUAUUAGAGGAGCCUGCGUUAGAUUAGCUUGUUGGUGAGGUAAAGGCUCACCAAGGCUACGAUCUAUAGCUGGUCUGAGAGGACGAUCAGCCACACUGGAACUGAGACACGGUCCAGACUCCUACGGGAGGCAGCAGUAGGGAAUCUUGGGCAAUGGGCGAAAGCCUGACCCAGCGAUGCCGCGUGUGCGAAGAAGGCCUUAGGGUUGUAAAGCACUUUCAGUCGUGAAGAAAAGCUACGAUUUAAUAUGUCGUGGUCUUGACGUUAGCGACAGAAGAAGUACCGGCUAACUCCGUGCCAGCAGCCGCGGUAAUACGGAGGGUACGAACGUUAAUCGGAAUUACUGGGCGUAAAGCGCGCGUAGGCGGUUUGAUAAGUGGGAUGUGAAAGCCCCGGGCUCAACCUGGGAACUGCAUUCCAAACUGUCAAACUAGAGUGUGGUAGAGGGCGGUAGAAUUUCCUGUGUAGCGGUGAAAUGCGUAGAUAUAGGAAGGAAUACCGAUGGCGAAGGCAGCCGCCUGGACCAACACUGACGCUGAGGUGCGAAAGCGUGGGGAGCAAACAGGAUUAGAUACCCUGGUAGUCCACGCCGUAAACGAUGAGAACUAGCCGUUGGGGCCUUUAAGGCUUUGGUGGCGCAGCUAACGCGAUAAGUUCUCCGCCUGGGGAGUACGGCCGCAAGGUUAAAACUCAAAUGAAUUGACGGGGGCCCGCACAAGCG